Molecule: non-coding RNA, 24 nt
Filed under: Drosophila melanogaster (fruit fly)
Lineage: Eukaryota; Metazoa; Arthropoda; Insecta; Diptera; Drosophilidae
Source: RNAcentral
UACAAUAGUAAGAUGGAAAUAAAC